UAUAGACUUGUAUCUCACAUUAAUGAUGACUAGCAUGAAGCCCAAACCUAUAUGUUGUCCACCAUAAAGCCCAAACCCAGCGGAAUGGUCUUUAAUUUUUAACGGCAAAAAACCCUUUCUGUCUCCCCAUCUUUUGCUUUACCCCUGUUUCACGGUUUCAAGCUUGCUAACGGCAGUUUCUCUCUCUUCCAAAGACAAUUUCAAAUCUUCACAGUUCAGACUUCAGAUUCAUAAUGCCAGGGCUCUCACGGCUCUUCCUUCCUCCCGAUGUUCAAGUCCUUUCAGUUGCUGCCGUUUCAAAAAAACCAAAGUGCCAUGACUACACAAUUGAAGAGCUCAUCACCAAGAGCUUCAAUAACGUCAUCUAGCAAUCAGAUUGGCUAGAUGAAUAUGGAGAAAGGUGAAUUUCAUGUAAGACGUGGUUGAGAUUUGUAAUAGAAAUUGGAUGUGAAGUUGACCACAAAGCACUUGCAUGCCUUAAAAUCAAAUCCACCAUCUGGUAUGGUUGUGCAUAUUCUACCUCCAAUUCUUAGAGU
This is a long non-coding RNA of Quercus lobata, 536 nucleotides long. RefSeq lists it as uncharacterized. NCBI's taxonomy places the organism in Eukaryota, Viridiplantae, Streptophyta, Magnoliopsida, Fagales, Fagaceae. The record is from RefSeq and is a predicted model, not a curated record. The transcript has 3 exons.